This 603-nucleotide long non-coding RNA is filed under the name Homo sapiens (human). Its description in RNAcentral is "uncharacterized LOC105378482, transcript variant 2 (LOC105378482)". Lineage: Eukaryota; Metazoa; Chordata; Mammalia; Primates; Hominidae. The record is from RNAcentral.
AGAGUGCCAGGAGCUUUGUGGAAGAGGCAGGCAGAAGCCGAAUCUUGGGACCAUCCUUUCUCACCUUGCAUGGCCCAACAAGUCUGUGUAGGGCCUUUUCCAGGAAGGCAGAGCCUACCCCUAGCUGACUCUGUGUCCCUUCCUGUGGUUGCCUCACUGGUCCAGUCUCACUAGUCCCUCUGGCUCCCUCUGGCUACUUCCGGCUUCCUCUGGCAACAGACUACUGGGGGAGAUAAGUGAGAAUUGCAACAUGCUCUCUCAUUACCCUCAAGGAACUAGAAAGAUAGAAUCUCUACGGACCCCACAAGACGACUGAUACUACAGACUAGACAAGAGCACCAGAUGAGAAAAUGGAGGUACCAAAAAGUGGGCUCUGAACUGCAGAGCCUGGCUCCAGAGCCCUUGUAUUUGACUACUGGGAUCCACCGUUAUUCUCACAGCCGCGUUUCCCACAGGGCUGCUUUGUAUGGCCUCUUAGAAAAGUCCUGCCUGUCUCCACCAUCCAGACUAUGAUGUCCGUGAGGUCAGAGGAAAGGGAGAAUGUCUCACAUACAGAAAAUGCUUGAUCAACAUUGAUGGAAUCAUAAAUGGUAUUUCCUUGUA